This 68-nucleotide transfer RNA is filed under the name Naso brevirostris (spotted unicornfish). RNAcentral's name for it is "tRNA-Ser". The record is from RNAcentral. Lineage: Eukaryota; Metazoa; Chordata; Actinopteri; Acanthuriformes; Acanthuridae.
GAGAGAGGCUAGCUAGCAAUGAAGACUGCUAAUCUUCGCCCCCUUGGUUGAACUCCAAGGCUCACUCG